This 492-nucleotide ribosomal RNA is filed under the name uncultured bacterium. Its description in RNAcentral is "partial 16S ribosomal RNA". It matches the Rfam family "Bacterial small subunit ribosomal RNA", at positions 29 to 507 of the family's 1533-position model. The record is from RNAcentral.
AGUGAACGCUGGCGGUAGGCCUAACACAUGCAAGUCGAACGGCAGCACAGUAAGAGCUUGCUCUUACGGGUGGCGAGUGGCGGACGGGUGAGGAAUACAUCGGAAUCUACUUUUUCGGGGGGGAUAACGUAGAGAAACUUACGCUAAUACCGCAUACGACCUACGGGUGAAAGCAGGGGAUCUUCGGACCUUGCGCGAUUGAAUGAGCCGAUGUCGGAUUAGCUAGUUGGCGGGGUAAAGGCCCACCAAGGCGACGAUCCGUAGCUGGUCUGAGAGGAUGAUCAGCCACACUGGAACUGAGACACGGUCCAGACUCCUACGGGAGGCAGCAGCGGGGAAUAUUGGACAAUGGGCGCAAGCCUGAUCCAGCCAUACCGCGUGGGUGAAGAAGGCCUUCGGGUUGUAAAGCCCUUUUGUUGGGAAAGAAAAGCAGCAGGUUAAUACCCCGCUGUUCUGACGGUACCCAAAGAAUAAGCACCGGCUAACUUCGUG